UCGGAUGUGGUGCACGGCGCACAUCAGCUACCACUAAAUGGGCAUUCAAGUUGUCAAUCUGUAAGCUGAAGAACGGGGUUCGACUCCCCGCAUCCGAA
Non-coding RNA from Mycena rebaudengoi, 98 nucleotides. The record is from the annotation of a GenBank genome assembly. Lineage: Eukaryota; Fungi; Basidiomycota; Agaricomycetes; Agaricales; Mycenaceae.